This 484-nucleotide ribosomal RNA is filed under the name uncultured bacterium. Its description in RNAcentral is "partial 16S ribosomal RNA". It matches the Rfam family "Bacterial small subunit ribosomal RNA", at positions 30 to 507 of the family's 1533-position model. The record is from RNAcentral.
AUUGAACGCUGGCGGCUGGCCUAACACAUGCAAGUCGAGCGGAUGAAGGGAGCUUGCUCCUGGAUUCAGCGGCGGACGGGUGAGUAAUGCCUAGGAAUCUGCCUGGUAGUGGUGGAUAACGUCCUCAAACGGGCGCUACUACCGCAUACGUCCUGCGGGAGAAAGUGGGGGAUCUUCGGACCUCACGCUCUCAGAUGAGCCUAGGUCGGAUUAGCUAGUUGGUGGGGUAAAGGCCUACCAAGGCGACGAUCCGUAACUGGUCUGAGAGGAUGAUCAGUCACACUGGAACUGAGACACGGACCAGAGUCCUACGGGAGGCAGCAGUGGGGAAUAUUGGACAAUGGGCGAAAGCCUGGUCCAGCCAUGCCGCGUGUGUGAAGAAGGUCUUCGGAUUGUAAAGAACUUUAAGUUGGGAGGAAGGGCAGUAAGUUAAUACCUUGCUGUUUUGACGGUACCAACAGAAGAAGCACCGGCUAACUUCGUG